UACGUAGGGGGCGAGCGUUGUCCGGAAUCAUUGGGCGUAAAGCGUGUGUAGGCGGCCCGGUAAGUCCGCUGUGAAAGUCCAGGGCUCAACCCUGGGAUGCCGGUGGAUACUGUCGGGCUCGAGUCCGGAAGAGGCGAGUGGAAUUCCUGGUGUAGCGGUGAAAUGCGCAGAUAUCAGGAGGAACACCAAUGGCGAAGGCAGCUCGCUGGGACGUGACUGACGCUGAGACGCGAAAGCGUGGGGAGCAAACAGG
RNAcentral lists this ribosomal RNA (253 nucleotides) under uncultured bacterium. RNAcentral describes it as "partial 16S ribosomal RNA". It matches the Rfam family "Bacterial small subunit ribosomal RNA", at positions 524 to 776 of the family's 1533-position model. The record is from RNAcentral.